RNAcentral lists this ribosomal RNA (392 nucleotides) under uncultured bacterium. RNAcentral describes it as "bacterial SSU rRNA". It matches the Rfam family "Bacterial small subunit ribosomal RNA", at positions 28 to 421 of the family's 1533-position model. The record is from RNAcentral.
GACGAACGCUGGCGGCGUGCUUAACACAUGCAAGUCGAGCGGUAAGGCCCUUUCGGGGGUACACGAGCGGCGAACGGGUGAGUAACACGUGGGUGACCUGCCCUCAGCUCUGGGAUAAGCCUGGGAAACCGGGUCUAAUACUGGAUAUGACUCCAUGACGCAUGUUGUGGGGUGGAAAGCCUUGUGCGGCUGAGGAUGGGCCCGCGGCCUAUCAGCUUGUUGGUGGGGUGAUGGCCUACCAAGGCGACGACGGGUAGCCGGCCUGGGAGGGCGACCGGCCACACUGGGACUGGGACACGGCCCAGACUCCUACGGGAGGCAGCAGUGGGGAAUCUUGCGCAAUGGGCGAAAGCCUGACGCAGCGACGCCGCGUGAGGGAUGACGGCCUGUGU